UACGUAGGUGGCAAGCGUUGUCCGGAAUUAUUGGGCGUAAAGCGCGCGCAGGCGGUCCUUUAAGUCUGAUGUGAAAGCCCACGGCUCAACCGUGGAGGGUCAUUGGAAACUGGGGGACUUGAGUGCAGAAGAGGAAAGCGGAAUUCCACGUGUAGCGGUGAAAUGCGUAGAGAUGUGGAGGAACACCAGUGGCGAAGGCGACUCUCUGGACCGUAACUGACGCUGAGGCAUGAAAGCGUGGGGAGCAAACAGG
RNAcentral lists this ribosomal RNA (253 nucleotides) under uncultured bacterium. Its description in RNAcentral is "partial 16S ribosomal RNA". It matches the Rfam family "Bacterial small subunit ribosomal RNA", at positions 524 to 776 of the family's 1533-position model. The record is from RNAcentral.